This 72-nucleotide transfer RNA is filed under the name Agathobacter rectalis M104/1. RNAcentral describes it as "tRNA-Thr (TGT) (tRNA-Thr-TGT-2-1)". It matches the Rfam family "tRNA". Rfam says of the family: Transfer RNA (tRNA) molecules are approximately 80 nucleotides in length. Their secondary structure includes four short double-helical elements and three loops (D, anti-codon, and T loops). Lineage: Bacteria; Bacillati; Bacillota; Clostridia; Lachnospirales; Lachnospiraceae. The record is from RNAcentral.
GCUGAUGUAGCACAAUGGUAGUGCAACUGCCUUGUAAGUAGUCUGUUGUAAGUUCGAGUCUUAUCAUCAGUU